UACGUAGGUGACAAGCGUUGUCCGGAUUUACUGGGCGUAAAGAGCGCGCAGGCGGUCGUUCAAGUCGAGUGUGAAAGCCCCCGGCUCAACUGGGGAGGGUCACUCGAUACUGAUCGACUCGAAGGCAGGAGAGGGAAGCGGAAUUCCCGGUGUAGUGGUGAAAUGCGUAGAUAUCGGGAGGAACACCAGUGGCGAAGGCGGCUUUCUGGCCUGCUCUUGACGCUGAGGCGCGAAAGCUAGGGUAGCAAACGGG
RNAcentral lists this ribosomal RNA (253 nucleotides) under uncultured bacterium. RNAcentral's name for it is "partial 16S ribosomal RNA". It matches the Rfam family "Bacterial small subunit ribosomal RNA", at positions 524 to 776 of the family's 1533-position model. The record is from RNAcentral.